This 521-nucleotide ribosomal RNA is filed under the name Streptomyces sp. LK2332.4. RNAcentral describes it as "bacterial SSU rRNA". It matches the Rfam family "Bacterial small subunit ribosomal RNA", at positions 92 to 626 of the family's 1533-position model. The record is from RNAcentral. Lineage: Bacteria; Bacillati; Actinomycetota; Actinomycetes; Kitasatosporales; Streptomycetaceae.
UUANUNGCGAANGGGUGAGUAACACGUGGGCAAUCUGCCCUUCACUCUGGGACAAGCCCUGGAAACGGGGUCUAAUACCGGAUACGACACGGGGUCGCAUGACCUCCGUGUGGAAAGCUCCGGCGGUGAAGGAUGAGCCCGCGGCCUAUCAGCUUGUUGGUGGGGUGAUGGCCUACCAAGGCGACGACGGGUAGCCGGCCUGAGAGGGCGACCGGCCACACUGGGACUGAGACACGGCCCAGACUCCUACGGGAGGCAGCAGUGGGGAAUAUUGCACAAUGGGCGAAAGCCUGAUGCAGCGACGCCGCGUGAGGGAUGACGGCCUUCGGGUUGUAAACCUCUUUCAGCAGGGAAGAAGCGAGAGUGACGGUACCUGCANAAGAAGCGCCGGCUAACUACGUGCCAGCAGCCGCGGUAAUACGUAGGGCGCAAGCGUUGUCCGGAAUUAUUGGGCGUAAAGAGCUCGUAGGCGGCUUGUCACGUCGGAUGUGAAAGCCCGGGGCUUAACCCCGGGUCUGCAU